AAUCAGGAUCCCUGUUUAACUUUUUCGCAACCAACCGUUUUGACAAAAAUUUUUUCGCAACAAACUAUAUAUCUAUAGAAAGAUUCCCUGCUGGAUGCCUGUUAAAAAGAAAAACUGAAGAAACUUUAAAACUAGACGAUGGCAACUGAAGAAGUUGAAACACCGUUAUUCAUGGUGUCAUAUCGCGGCUUUAGUUCUCCAUGUAAAAGAGGAUGAAAGCACUAAAGAAGCGUAACGAUAAACUUUAAAGCAGAAUUUUGUCAUGCGAUUAAGAUGGUGAUAUGAAAGAACUAAUGUGGCAGUAUAUUACUAUCGUAGAACAGUUUUGCA
Non-coding RNA from Hydra vulgaris (swiftwater hydra), 330 nucleotides. The record is from RefSeq and is a predicted model, not a curated record. Lineage: Eukaryota; Metazoa; Cnidaria; Hydrozoa; Anthoathecata; Hydridae.